Molecule: ribosomal RNA, 520 nt
Filed under: uncultured Gigaspora
Lineage: Eukaryota; Fungi; Glomeromycota; Glomeromycetes; Diversisporales; Gigasporaceae
Description: SSU rRNA
Rfam family: Eukaryotic small subunit ribosomal RNA
Source: RNAcentral
AGCAGCCGCGGUAAUUCCAGCUCCAAUAGCGUAUAUUAAAGUUGUUGCAGUUAAAAAGCUCGUAGUUGAAUUUCGGGGUUCUACCGUUGGUCGGGCAAUAGUCUGUACUGGCGUGUAGAAUUUCUACCUUCUGGGGAACCAUCAUGUUAUUUAUUUAGCGUGGUGGGAAACCAGGACCUUUACCUUGAAAAAAUUAGAGUGUUCAAAGCAGGCUUACGUCUGAAUACAUUAGCAUGGAAUAAUAAAAUAGGACGGUGGUCCUGUUUUGUUGGUUUCUGAAUCACCGUAAUGAUUAAUAGGGAUAGUUGGGGGCAUUAGUAUUCAAUUGUCAGAGGUGAAAUUCUUGGAUUUAUUGAAGACUAACUUCUGCGAAAGCAUUUGCCAAGGAUGUUUUCAUUAAUCAAGAACGAAAGUUAGGGGAUCGAAGACGAUCAGAUACCGUCGUAGUCUUAACCAUAAACUAUGCCGACUAGGGAUCGGACGAUGUUAAUUUUUCUUGACUCGUUCGGCGCCUUUACGG